RNAcentral lists this ribosomal RNA (497 nucleotides) under uncultured bacterium. RNAcentral's name for it is "partial 16S ribosomal RNA". It matches the Rfam family "Bacterial small subunit ribosomal RNA", at positions 28 to 507 of the family's 1533-position model. The record is from RNAcentral.
GAUGAACGCUGGCGGCGUGCCUAAUACAUGCAAGUCGAGCGAACGGACGAGAAGCAUGCUUUUCUGAUGUUAGCGGCGGACGGGUGAGUAACACGUGGAUAACCUACCUAUAAGACUGGGAUAACUUCGGGAAACCGGAGCUAAUACCGGAUAAUAUUUUGAACCGCAUGGUUCAAAAGUGAAAGACGGUCUUGCUGUCACUUAUAGAUGGAUCCGCGCUGCAUUAGCUAGUUGGUAAGGUAACGGCUUACCAAGGCAACGAUGCAUAGCCGACCUGAGAGGGGGAUCGGCCACACUGGAACGGGGACACGGUCCAGACGCCUACGGGAGGCAGCAGUAGGGAAUCUUCCGCAAUGGGCGAAAGCCUGACGGAGCAACGCCGCGUGAGUGAUGAAGGUCUUCGGAUCGUAAAACUCUGUUAUUAGGGAAGAACAUAUGUGUAAGUAACUGUGCACAUCUUGACGGUACCUAAUCAGAAAGCCACGGCUAACUACGUG